This 495-nucleotide ribosomal RNA is filed under the name uncultured bacterium. RNAcentral's name for it is "partial 16S ribosomal RNA". It matches the Rfam family "Bacterial small subunit ribosomal RNA", at positions 28 to 507 of the family's 1533-position model. The record is from RNAcentral.
GAUGAACGCUGGCGGCGUGCCUAAUACAUGCAAGUAGAACGCUGAAGGAGGAGCUUGCUCUUCUGGAUGAGUUGCGCACGGGUGAGUAACGCGUAGGUAACCUGCCUGGUAGCGGGGGAUAACUCUUGGAAACGAUAGCUAAUACCGCAUGACAUCAGUUAUUGCAUGAUAACUGUAUAAAAGGGGCAACUGCUCCACUACCAGUUGGACCUGCGUUGUUUUAGGUAGUUGGUGAGGUAACGGCUCACCAAGGCGACGAUACAUAGCCGGCCUGAGAGGGUUAUCGGCCACACUGGGACUGAGACACGGCCCAGACUCCUACGGGAGGCAGCAGGAGGGAAACUUCGGGAAAUGACGGAAGUCUGACCGGGCAACGCCGGGGGGGGGAAGAAGGUUCUCGGAUCGGAAAGCUCCGUUGUAAGGGGAGAACGAGUGUUGGAGUGGAAAGUGCACACUGUGACGGUAUCUUACCAGAAAGGGACGGCUAACUACGUG